Polyodon spathula (Mississippi paddlefish) is the source of this 136-nucleotide small nucleolar RNA. The record is from RefSeq and is a predicted model, not a curated record. NCBI's taxonomy places the organism in Eukaryota, Metazoa, Chordata, Actinopteri, Acipenseriformes, Polyodontidae.
CUGCACUAUCUUUUGAACCUGUGAAAUGCCCCAACCAUGGCUUCAUGGGACAAGCAAGUGCAAAAUCAAUACUUGUUCAUAACUGGGGCUUCUCGGCACCCUGCCCGACCAGCUCUUUUAAAAGCAAGUUACAUUC